GUGCUUGCUUCGGCAGCACAUAUACUAAAAUUGGAAUGAUACAAAAAAGACUAGCAUGACCCCUGCGCAAGGAUGACACGCAAAUUCCUGAAGAAUUCCAUGUUAAA
This is a small nuclear RNA of Aotus nancymaae (Ma's night monkey), 107 nucleotides long. NCBI's taxonomy places the organism in Eukaryota, Metazoa, Chordata, Mammalia, Primates, Aotidae. The record is from Ensembl.